AAACCGAAUCUCUUGAAAGGAACCGAUUCGCAGAACUUGCCCACUACCAGAGCCGUUGGGAAACAUGAAUGUGGCGUCGCCGCAGUGCUCGUCUCCUAUUGGCCAGCUGAACUGUCAGUCAAGGAGCGUCGGCUGGCGAGCUGAGGUGAAUGACAGCGCCGUGCCUCAGCAGUGUACAUACAAGACAAAAUGGGAAAUAAUAUAUCCAGUUGACGCACUGUAGCUACAGCAUUUAGUGAAACGUGGCGGCAGACCAUUAGAGACCGGUUUAGAGAAGACCUCUUCCAUUCUAAACCAAGCUGUGACUGACGGAAGUGAACUUAGGACGGAAGGAGUUAGUGGUUUAGUCACGAAUGGCUUUCGACUCGGUUGGCGGCGACCGCGGCGGCGGUGAGGCUGCGUGGAUCAUGCAUCAGCAGAUGCAGUCUGAUCCCAAGUCUUCCUGGCCUUCCAGCUACAACUCGGACAACAGUCACUGGAACAACGGCAUGGAUUCUCAGUAUCCCGGCUACUCUAAUUAUUGGUAUCCCCAAUCGCACACGGCGGGACCUUAUGGAAGCACAUACCCCCCUGGAACAGAGGUCAACGGACAGGCCUCAUACAAUCCCCAGGUACUGCAGACAUUUCAGGCUUAUGUAACACCCUCUGUCAGUCAGUCAAAUACACAGCAGACUUAUCUCGCUUCACUCUGCCGUGCCCUUUUCAGGCAAUGUCAGGCUAUUCCAAUGGGGUGUACAAUCCAGGACAGUACUCCUCGAGUAUGCUACAUCCCUCCAACCCCUUCUACUGCAGUAACCAGGUUCCUUCAAGACAGCCUCAGUAUCACAGCCAGCCCUGCCCUGAACAAAAUGCGGGGGGUUCAGCUCCUCCCCCCUACCCCGUUCCUCACUGCCAAGGGGUAAAUUCAGUUACAUGUAAACAUAAUAAAAGAUUGUUUAUUUAGUUUUGUACAAAUUUUUGGGUCAAUUGUAAGUAGUGUCCAUAAUAAAGAAAAUUAAUAAUCAUUUAAAAAUCUACUUUAAAACAUGUGCCAAGUUCUUAGUAAUGUAUUCUUUGUAUUCAAAUAAAAAAAAAACAUUUAAAUUUAAUGAUAAACUGUCAUGUGG
This 1106-nucleotide long non-coding RNA is filed under the name Sinocyclocheilus grahami. RNAcentral's name for it is "lncRNA (ENSSGRG00000052990.1)". Lineage: Eukaryota; Metazoa; Chordata; Actinopteri; Cypriniformes; Cyprinidae. The record is from RNAcentral.